This 5436-nucleotide long non-coding RNA is filed under the name Homo sapiens (human). RNAcentral describes it as "HSALNT0350975". The record is from RNAcentral. Lineage: Eukaryota; Metazoa; Chordata; Mammalia; Primates; Hominidae.
CCACCUUAGACUUCUCUUUAUGAAUUUCUACUUUACCCUUUUGUCUUUCAAAAAAUUUGCUUUAUUUGUAUUCCCUGACAACAAGGCCCUGAUCACUUGAUAACUGUGUGAUUCUCCUGGCCCCUUCCCUUUUGUUCUUAUAAGUAUGGGGAGAAAUUCUCCUGGUUUGAGGAUGAGAAAUGGAUACAGUGGGGCUCAUCAAAGUUUUCUAAGUUAGACAUGUACUGAUCCCAACAAAUUAUGUGAUCCCAAACAAUUUCAACACAAAGUACAUUCCGAUGCCACCAUUUCUUUGCCUGUGUCCCUCGGGUCCCUGGACAGAACUUGGAAAUGGGAAGUGAAGAACAUUUCAUUCUAUGACCCUUAGCAGCAUUGUUUUUUAAUUGAAUCAGAAUUGCUUCUCCCUUGCUUUUCCUUCCUCAAGGGAGUUCAGAGCUCCUUGGCUUCACCUGACUUUAUGCAGUGGUUUCAUCCCAUGAUAAUAUGUUGGGUUUCUGUCUUAAUAGAACCUUUGGUCUUACAGAAGUCCCGGAUAGGUCUGCUGUAUAUCUUUAUCCCAAGACUUUAUACAUUCCAGAGUUCCUGAAAGCUCUUGCAGUUACUGGCUUUUCCAGGAUUCAAGUCACUCUUGCAGUCAAUAGGAGAUACUCACAUGGAAUUACUACAGCACACAGAGAAUUUUGAGUAUUCUUUGGCCCAGAGAAUACUGAUCGGCCCCAUAUUUUGCCUUUGUGCUAGGAUGGAGCUCCAUAUCAGAGAGAUCAAUACAAUCUGAAAGUCACUGCCUCUUCCAUAAGUCCUGCUUUAAAACCUUCGGUAGCUUUUCUUAAUUUUCCUUUCAAGGCUAUCAUUGUGUGGGCGUAACUUACUUACUUUUUUUUUUUUUUUUUUGGUAACAUAACGUGACCCAGAACCAUCUUUAGGAGUGUGGCAAAUUCUGUCCUGUCUUUCUAGGACGGGGUAAAAUAACCUGCCUCAGGAUGGAACACCCAACCGAGGGAGGAAGAGAAAACUAGGGGUGCUUGCUUAGGUUGCCAGUUGCUGCAGCAAGACCUGAGGCUCCAGUGCCUCCUUCUGUGCCCGUGCCCAUCUGCAAAGCAAAGGCCCAGAACUGCUGUGUCAUUCUUCCACAGACCGCUCCCUGCACCAGGCUUCCCCCUUGCAUGCAAGAACUCUUGUUUUCCUUCCCAGGAUGCUCCUGUUGCUAGUUCUCACCAGAUUUAUCUCUAUAUGGCUGAGAUCAGCUAUGCACCUCUUAAGCAUGAAUAAUUCUGAUUCCCUUUAAAACUGGAUGGGUCAGUUUUCCAGGAAUUUACUCCAAACUAAUUAAUAAUAAUUGCCACCACUUACUGAGGCCAUGGUGUAAACAGAUAACUUUGCAUCCACUGUCUUUUUCGUCCUCACCAACAGCUCUUAUGUGAUAAAUAUUGUUACUCCUUACUCAUUUUUCAGUAGAGGAAACCAAGAUUCAGGAGAAUUAAGUAACUUGCCUAAGGUCACACAGAUAAGGAGUAGCCAGCUAAGGAGACUUGGCUUUUCUCUUGAGACCUUGCUAUCUCCAAACUUUGAAGCAAUGCUAUAGAGUUCUACUUCAGAAGGAAGCAGGAAGCCAUAUCAUUUUCUUAUCUUUACCUCUGCUUAGCUCCACCUUACCAUUCCCUCCCCCUUAGGCAUAGUCGGGUUGUUUCUGUGAGGCGGAGUUUGAGCCAAAGCAUAGCACACCCUAACUUUCUCUUGGGAGGAGCUCGUCUUUCUGUUUGAGUUUCAGAUGUUGUCUCUGUUGGUAGUUUCUUCAUUUAUUCAACAUAUAUUUAUUAUAAUGACAACAUGCGAAAUACUGAGUAUGAAGUUGUUAAAAAGAUGUAUAUGGACCUAUCUUUACGGAGUUUUAUAGUUUAGUUGGGAAGAAUGCAGGCUAUAUCUAAAUAAGAACAAAAUAAUUAACCAAGCAAGAGGUCAGUUUACUUCUGUUCCUUCUUAUUGUCAAGAUAUUGGAAAGCAGAAUUAAUUUGAGUAUCCAAUACGUUAUCUGUUGAGAAGAGUCACUUUUGUGAAUGUGACUGUCUCAGAGGCAGGAAUUAGUAAUUUAAACCAGCGUAUGUUUGAAGUUGAUUAAAGGAAAAUAUUCAGAUUCCUGAAUAACGAUUUAAAUGUGCUGGAACAUUACCUAUUACCCACAUAUUACAUGGCAAUAUUUUAAAAAUCUGGCCAGUGUUAAAAUGAUAACGUUUCAGUUAAAAGCAGCUUUCAAAGAUAGAAAUAAAAAAAAAAAAACAGAAAAAGAUGAAAAACAGAUGAGGAAACUGAGCCCUAUAGGAGUUGAGUGAAGGCUCAGGGUUAUAAUGUGGGUUUUAAUCAGAGUGCAAGGGGCUCCAAGUGAGAGUGCGCAGUUUGCUCUGAGCCCACUGUGUGUGAUUUGCAAGCUUUCUUUGUCUCAGUAUAAAUACCAUUUGGCACUUUCAACAUGUUUCUAAUUGUGAGUUUAGCAGUUUACUCUGGUGGGGUUUUUUUUUUUCUGGAUCUUUUUUGUAGAAGUGUAGAAGCUGUUGAAUUUGAUGGCAUUUUCCCCGUAUUGUUUAUUUGUUUGUUUUGUUUUCACUGUAGGAACAACAGUGAAAUUGGAUCAGAAAUUUAUUAGAGAACAGGUCUUCACAUGUAGAAUUCCCGACAUUUGUAAUUAUACUGCCUGGGAUGUUCCUCCUCAUAAAAUAUCCUUAGUACUCAAAACCAGAAAAUGUAGAAAAAAUCAGUAUUUUAAGCAAAUAGAAAAAUCCAAAACCUUAAUUUUGAAACAUAGGUGGAAUUUAAAAAUAUUGGCCAGAAGCCUAAGGGAGUUUCAGGUUAGCUUUUCUAGCAAACUUGUUUGCUCACAUUCAUGGGAAGUGACUUCGAAUGUGAGUAGUGGUUGUUCACGUGGUGUUUUAGAGGCCGAUUAAAACACUUCUUUCAUCAGGGAACUUAGAUCAACCCUGAGAAUAAACAGGGGACCCAGGUUCUAGAGAAAAUAAAGGUGGGUCUCUAAAAGGAGGAGGCAGUGGGCUUGAGAAAUAUUAGAGAAACUUGGCUCUGUAUGGUUUGUUUGUGAGGCAAUCCGAUUGAGUCUUUGAGGGAGGCACACUUAACAGGCUUUUAAUCUCAGGGGAGUGAAUCGUAGAAUGUAAAUAUUAGAAGCAGUGUUAGGCUGUGUAUCCUUCUCACCCACCAGAUUAAAUAACUUGUCCAAAGUGACACAGUAGAAGUGGUAGUAAGUCCUGAGUCUUCUUACUCCAACUUCAAGGCUCUUUUAAUGAGGAAUGGUUCCUCAGUCUUUUAUUUUUUAUUUUGAUGAUAGCUUUUUUUUUUUCUUUGAAAUGGGGUCUCACUUAUGUUGCACUGGCUGGCCUUGAACCCCUGGCUCCUGGCUCAACCCUACUGCCUCAGCCUCCUGAGUCGCUGGGACUCCAGACAUGCCUCAGUAUGCCCAGUUUGACUUGGCAUUUUUGAAGACUUGCCACUUACUUUGUUGAUGUUGCCUCAUGCUCUGGAAUCAGCCAUUUCCACAGAGAGCUGUGGUUACUUUUAGUGGACAGUGGUAUUUAGAAACCAAGAUCUGAGUGCUGGGUGUGCUUAUUGCUACUAAGGUGUCAUUGCUUCUAGGCUCUCUCAGCAGGGAGACCUAGGAAAUACGUAGCAGCUGGACAGGCUCCACCCCUGCUUUGCUCUGCGUGGACCUGCUGCACGUGCUGCCGAUACCAGCCAAAGCCCCCACUUCCUCCCAGCUCAGUUGCACUAUUUGUGGGUUUUUUAAAAAAAGGUAUUCAUGUUUUUUUCAUUGAAAGAUGCUCAGAAUAGUGACCGCCUUAACUAACAUCAAGUUAGGAACUGGAGCAGAAUCCAAAUAAAUCUUAAUGGUGAGAGGCUGGAUUCUGAUAGACUUGGGAUGAAGACUAAACAAGUUUUUAAAAUUUUUAUUUUUAAAUACCACAGUGCUUUUAGGGCAAAUGGUUUACAACCAGAUAUGGAGCCUGAGCUGAAUGAAUGAGUGCACAUGCAUACCCUAUGUUCUUCCCAGCACACAUUCUUUUGAAGCAUGAAAGUCCUCUUUGGGUGCUAGGGUUUUGGGUUCAUGACUAUGUUGAUGAGCCUGUCACCUUGGUUCUCUACUUCAUGUUUCCAGACCGCAUUUAAUUGUUCCUUGGGCAUGGGAGAAAUCACAGAAGGGGCUGACAAAUACAAACUGGAGUUAACUUUGGAACCAUGACUCUUGGAUUUUACAGAACCACAAGUCCUGGUAGCAGCUGAAUCCCUUUAAUGUGGCUCCAUUCUCCUUUGAAUGUUCACUUGUUAAUGUAUUGAGGCCUCUGUGCUCUUAGGCUAUUGUGCAAAUCAGAUCAAUUUCAAUUUGCUAUUCAAGAGAGGAGGGGUUUUGAUUUUUAACAUAAUGCACGUGACAUUCCUUGUCUGCUUCAUCUCUGUUUGUUAUGACAGCCCCUCCCCCACAUCCUGUUCUUCAGGUGGAGAAUGAACAGCUAUGGCAAAACUGUGGCCAAUAACGGUGCAUGUGGAUGUUUAGACCAGUUUUAAUUGGAGACUUUCAGAGGGGAGGUUGGAAGGCUUUCAUGUAAAUUUAUUUGCCUGUGUAUUAAUCCACUUCUUCAAGGAGGAGGUUGGAAGUGGUCUUAGAGUUUUGUCCUUACCUUCAUGAGACUGCAUUUCCAAUCUCCCUUCUUUGCUCCACUCUUUGUGAAUCUCUGCACCAUCAAGUAAUGCUGUAAGGGUAGAGCCAUCGUUUUUGUUCUAAUCACUGUACAGGGCUUUUCAAAGUACAGGGAGAGCUGUCUCACCCUCUCUCACUUAACUCUCACAAACAGGCUUCUGUAUCUGCUGUUUCCUCUGCAUGGAAAACUCUUUUCCUUUGGCCUCAUCCUUGUUUCCAUAGUUGCCUUUUAGACCUCAGCUAAAAGUUAGUUUUUCAGGAAUUUCUGAUAUCAAAAUCAAGAAAAAGGUGCGUGCAGGAUGGGUGAGAUGGUGGCAAGGCUUGAUAGAUCUCUUUCUGCACUGAGUGUGAAUGAAUUUGGGACCUUUUCAGUGAUGCUGUCUUAGGAGCCUGCUGGAAAACCCACUGUUGACAGCCAUCCAGUGAGAAUUAUAUUGUUUGCAUUUUAUUAAAGUGGAGCCAAGUGGACCUUGAACUUACAUAAACAAAUGGAGUCCAUGGAAAUGCAUAUAAAGAUUAGGGCACAAGUUCAUGUAUUCGGCACAAUCUGGAAUAGUCCAGCAAACAGGUUAUUACUGGUUACUUACCAUGUGGUCAGGAUGGAGCUAGAUGCUGGUGGAGUGUGGAUGGUGCAGAUGCUCAAGGAAUUUAGCCUUGUUGAGGGCGCCUGUUUAAUCCGUAGGAAAUCACAGCCUAACCUUGCAAGACAGGAUUUACUUAAGUGGAGAAGAGUGUGGUAC